Long non-coding RNA from Amphimedon queenslandica, 413 nucleotides. RefSeq lists it as uncharacterized. The record is from RefSeq and is a predicted model, not a curated record. The transcript is spliced from 3 exons. Lineage: Eukaryota; Metazoa; Porifera; Demospongiae; Haplosclerida; Niphatidae.
ACAAAAAGCAGAAUCGAAGCCUAUCAACCUCUGAACAGUUUCAGCUCCUAUUGACCUCAUCUUUUAUUUAUGGAAAAGGAACGUUGCUAUUGGCAUUCAAACUGUCUGCAAACAAUCCUGAUGUGUUAGUGUUUGUUGAUUGUACGGAUGCAAAGUCGUUUCUUAGUCCAAAGAUUCAUUGCUCUUUUGAUAUCAAUGGCUUUAGUCGUUUUAUUUUCGACCACCUUUCACGCCAAUCAAGCUUACUGCAUCAUUAUACUUGGAAACACCUACCAUAUCUCAAGUAUGUAGUGGCUGCAAAGACCACGUUAUUUAAGCACUAUCGCGAUAGCAAAGACAAUAACUAUGAAAACACUUAUUUUAUUUUCAACGAAGAAGGAGAUGUCGUACAUAAGUGGUCUGUUCCUAAAGGG